UGGGGAAUAUUGGACAAUGGGCGCAAGCCUGAUCCAGCCAUGCCGCGUGAGUGAUGAAGGCCUUAGGGUUGUAAAGCUCUUUCAGUAGGGAAGAUAAUGACGGUACCUACAGAAGAAGCCCCGGCUAACUUCGUGCCAGCAGCCGCGGUAAUACGAAGGGGGCUAGCGUUGUUCGGAUUUACUGGGCGUAAAGCGCACGUAGGCGGGUCGUUAAGUCAGGGGUGAAAUCCUGGAGCUCAACUCCAGAACUGCCUUUGAUACUGGCGACCUAGAGUCCGGAAGAGGUGAGGGGAACUCCUAGUGUAGAGGUGGAAUUCGUAGAUAUUAGGAAGAACACCAGUGGCGAAGGCGGCUCACUGGUCCGGUACUGACGCUGAGGUGCGAAAGCGUAGGGAGCAAACAGG
RNAcentral lists this ribosomal RNA (404 nucleotides) under Acidobacteriota bacterium. RNAcentral describes it as "Acidobacteria bacterium partial 16S ribosomal RNA". It matches the Rfam family "Bacterial small subunit ribosomal RNA", at positions 355 to 776 of the family's 1533-position model. Lineage: Bacteria; Pseudomonadati; Acidobacteriota. The record is from RNAcentral.